AUUGAACGCUGGCGGCAUGCCUUACACAUGCAAGUCGAACGGCAGCGGGGACUUCGGUCCGCCGGCGAGUGGCGAACGGGUGAGUAAUGCAUCGGAACGUACCCGGGAGUGGGGGAUAACUAUCCGAAAGGAUAGCUAAUACCGCAUAAUCUGUGAGCAGGAAAGCAGGGGAUCUUCGGACCUUGUGCUUCCGGAGCGGCCGAUGUCAGAUUAGCUAGUUGGUGGGGUAAAGGCCUACCAAGGCGACGAUCUGUAGCGGGUCUGAGAGGAUGAUCCGCCACACUGGAACUGAGACACGGUCCAGACUCCUACGGGAGGCAGCAGUGGGGAAUUUUGGACAAUGGGCGCAAGCCUGAUCCAGCCAUGCCGCGUGAGUGAAGAAGGCCUUCGGGUUGUAAAGCUCUUUCGGCCGGGAAGAAAUCGCGUGAGUUAAUACCUUGCGUGGAUGACGGUACCGGAAUAAGAAGCACCGGCUAACUACGUGCCAGCCGCCGCAGUAA
This 500-nucleotide ribosomal RNA is filed under the name uncultured bacterium. RNAcentral describes it as "partial 16S ribosomal RNA". It matches the Rfam family "Bacterial small subunit ribosomal RNA", at positions 30 to 523 of the family's 1533-position model. The record is from RNAcentral.